RNAcentral lists this long non-coding RNA (228 nucleotides) under Mus spicilegus (steppe mouse). RNAcentral's name for it is "lncRNA (ENSMSIG00000025564.1)". Lineage: Eukaryota; Metazoa; Chordata; Mammalia; Rodentia; Muridae. The record is from RNAcentral.
UUGGAUGAUGAGGGAACACAGCAAAUGGUGCUUAUGUCUUCCCUCUCUCUCCAAGUAUGCUGUGUAGAAUGAAGACUCAAGCCAGGUCACAAAUAGACCCUAUCAGAGCCUCAAGGUACUUGUAUGUGUUGCCAAUCAUAAACAGAACUCUUUACUUCAUGUUUAAAGCCCACAUGAUGGAUUUGCAAGAUCCUGUUAACAAUGGGUCAAUUUGAAGAGAUGAAAAAG